RNAcentral lists this ribosomal RNA (457 nucleotides) under uncultured bacterium. Its description in RNAcentral is "SSU rRNA". It matches the Rfam family "Bacterial small subunit ribosomal RNA", at positions 26 to 518 of the family's 1533-position model. The record is from RNAcentral.
AGAAUCAACGCUGGCGGCGUGCCUAACACAUGCAAGUCGCACGAGAAAGGGACUUCGGUCCUGAGUACAGUGGCGCACGGGUGAGUAACACGUGAAUCAUCUACCUUCGAGUGGGGAAUAACUGAGAGAAAUCUUAGCUAAUACCGCAUAAUACCUACGGGUCAAAGCAGCAAUGCGCUUGAAGAGGAGUUCGCGGCAGAUUAGUUAGUUGGCGGGGUAAUGGCCCACCAAGACGAUGAUCUGUAUCCGGCCUGAGAGGGCGCACGGACACACUGGAACUGAAACACGGUCCAGACUCCUACGGGAGGCAGCAGUGGGGAAUUUUGCGCAAUGGGGGAAACCCUGACGCAGCAACGCCGCGUGGAGGAUGAAAUAUCUUGGUAUGUAAACUCCUUUCGAUGGGGAAGAUAAUGACGGUACCAUAGAAGAAGCCCGGCUAACUCGCGCCAGCAGCCGC